UGAACGCUGGCGGUAGGCCUAACACAUGCAAGUCGACCGGCAGCACAGUAAGAGCUUGCUCUUACGGGUGGCGAGUGGCGGACGGGUGAGGAAUACAUCGGAAUCUACUUUUUCGUGGGGGAUAACGUAGGGAAACUUACGCUAAUACCGCAUACGACCUACGGGUGAAAGCAGGGGAUCUUCGGACCUUGCGCGAUUGAAUGAGCCGAUGUCGGAUUAGCUAGUUGGCGGGGUAAAGGCCCACCAAGGCGACGAUCCGUAGCUGGUCUGAGAGGAUGAUCAGCCACACUGGAACUGAGACACGGUCCAGACUCCUACGGGAGGCAGCAGUGGGGAAUAUUGGACAAUGGGCGCAAGCCUGAUCCAGCCAUACCGCGUGGGUGAAGAAGGCCUUCGGGUUGUAAAGCCCUUUUGUUGGGAAAGAAAAGCAGCAGGUUAAUACCCCGCUGUUCUGACGGUACCCAAAGAAUAAGCACCGGCUAACUUCGUG
RNAcentral lists this ribosomal RNA (490 nucleotides) under uncultured bacterium. RNAcentral describes it as "partial 16S ribosomal RNA". It matches the Rfam family "Bacterial small subunit ribosomal RNA", at positions 30 to 507 of the family's 1533-position model. The record is from RNAcentral.